RNA transcript from Harpegnathos saltator (Jerdon's jumping ant), 1836 nucleotides. It is a transcript of the gene named DNA-directed RNA polymerases I, II, and III subunit Rpb8, with no coding region annotated. The transcript has 2 exons. NCBI's taxonomy places the organism in Eukaryota, Metazoa, Arthropoda, Insecta, Hymenoptera, Formicidae. The record is from RefSeq and is a predicted model, not a curated record.
AGAGAGAGAGAGAGAGACAGAGAGAGAGAGAGAGAGAGAGAGAGAGACGCCGAGUCACCUACGUCUCGUGCUGCGGAGCUCCAUCAUGUACAUUUCGGGUUAUACGCAUUACUCAUAAAUAGGAUAAAUCGCAUUACGCACAUAUCUACUACGGACUCGUUCGAUACAUGGCCGGAUAAAUAGAUAGAGAGACACGCAGCGCUAGGCGCGCGCGCGCGCGAGAGAGAGAGAGAGAGAGCGAGAGCGAGAGCGAGAGCGAGAGCGAGAAAGCGUAUACAUGUAGCCGCCGCACGAACACACGCUCACAUCGACAUGUACGGAAGGUUAGUCCACGAGGGCCAGGCCGAGUCUCUCCGCUGUAUUGACGCGCGGCGUUCAGGCUUGCGCGAGAUGACGCAAUCUCCUCCCUCCCACUGCCGCUCCGUGCCCGACUCCCCUUUGCCGCUCCUUGCCCCUCGUUCCGCCAGCUCAGCUGCGCCCUCCACUCCGCCGGUGCUCCCUUCCGCGCGCAGGUCUCUCGCCGCCCGCCUCGCCCCGCGGCGCCCACAAGUUCAAUGCCAAGGUCAAAGCGACCACGACUCGCAGCCGUGUCGGUCGCGCGCGCGAUAUUCGUUCGUCCUCGAGGAGGCGAGUGCGUCCCGCUCGGUUCGAUCGCUCGCUCGCUCUUGGUGUGUACCGGCCGUGUCCCUUUUUCCGCGUCUCACUCGUCCGCUCUUUCUCGACGACGGCGCGACUCGGUUCCGUCGCGGGAGGAGAACGAGACGCGCGGCGUCGUUUCGCACGUCAUCGUCGUCGUCGUCGCCGCCGCUUCGCCUCGCCUCGCUUCGCCGUGCGGCGGGCCGCGCGGAAUAUCGACGCGACGUUUUUUGCCAGACGUUCAUUUCCCUCUCGUCGUUUGCGCGCCGCGUACGUUUGUCUCCCGAGCGAUCGUUAGCGGGGCCGGUCUGUGAUGUACGACGACGGCGGCGGCGACCGUGUGCGACGUAUACGCGAUCGUCGGAGUGUCUGCUCGCAGGUGAGCCUUCUUGUGUUCAACAUGCCGAACGUCGCCCACCUUGACGACGACGACGACGACGACGACGAUGUGCGAGCGGACAUUUUGAAUACGCGACGUCGGAGUGCCGUGACGGGGGAAUCUUGAGGCGACUUUUAACGGGCGCGCAGCGUAGUCCGUUUAGAUGCUUUUGGCGUCGCCGCCGAGCGUUCUCAAGUGCGACGUCGUCGGAUCGCGUGAAUUUUGGGAGAGUUUCCUGCGUCUCUCUCUCUCUCUCUCUCUCUCCCUCCCGCCCUCCCGCCUCUCCUCCCUCCAUCCCUCCUCCGUCUCUAUCUCUCUUCCUUCCUGAACACGGCACCGACGUCGCUCGGCGGUGAGGUAGAUGUGUGGGCGUGACGAGGAGGGAGAGAUAGAGAAGGAGGAGGCCAGCGCGGGGCGAAAUCGGCGGGUGUCGCUUCGUGAUCUCGUGAAUCUUCUCCACUCGGGUGGAAAAGGCGACAAGGUCGGCCGCGCGCGCGACACACACAGGUGGAUCCGUCCGGAAGAGAGCAGUCCGCGCGCGGAAGCCAUCGUGUCGCCUCGAGAAACCGCGUCACGCAGGCCAAGAUGGCGGCGGCGAAUUUCGGACAGGACCUGAACGGACGCUGCGCACCGAGGUGCCAAAUUCCGUCUCGUGCUGGCCACCACGUUGCGCGAGGACGGUUAUCCUGACGGAAACGAGUGGAACGCCACGGAACAAGAAGGCGGUUCCAGGGCGGAUAGUUUUGAGUACGUCAUGUCUGGCAAGGUGUACCGGAUCGAGGGCGACGAAGCUAGCAACGAGCCGAGCAGCAGAUUGUAAG